This 301-nucleotide ribosomal RNA is filed under the name uncultured bacterium. RNAcentral's name for it is "partial 16S ribosomal RNA". It matches the Rfam family "Bacterial small subunit ribosomal RNA", at positions 509 to 807 of the family's 1533-position model. The record is from RNAcentral.
CAGUCGCCACGGUAAUACGGAGGGAGCUAGCGUUGUUCGGAAUUACUGGGCGUAAAGCGCGCGUAGGCGGUUACUCAAGUCAGAGGUGAAAGCCCGGGGCUCAACCCCGGAACUGCCUUUGAAACUAGGUGACUAGAAUCUUGGAGAGGUCAGUGGAAUUCCGAGUGUAGAGGUGAAAUUCGUAGAUAUUCGGAAGAACACCAGUGGCGAAGGCGACUGACUGGACAAGUAUUGACGCUGAGGUGCGAGAGCGUGGGGAGCAAACAGGAUUAGAUACCCCUGUAGUCCCUGUCUCUUAUAC